Molecule: long non-coding RNA, 207 nt
Filed under: Elaeis guineensis (African oil palm)
Lineage: Eukaryota; Viridiplantae; Streptophyta; Magnoliopsida; Arecales; Arecaceae
Description: long non-coding RNA (EGUI_LNC060633)
Source: RNAcentral
GGUGCCCUUCCUUGGAAAGCCCUAAUUCCUAGUCUAUAAAAGGGGUCCUCUCUCUUGGAUGUCCAAUGAUCAUUUUCUUGGUGUUUUUUAUUUUCAAUGCCUCUUCUCCUGCUCUUCUAUUCCUCCUCUUGAUCCUCUCUUGCUUUGGAGUGUCCAAGGUACUUGAAGAAGGAGGAACAUAUCAACUAUUAAAGUUGCUUGUAGGCU